UUGCCGCAAGGCACCAUCUUGUACCACUUGUCGUGGAGCAGGUCGAUGAAGCCGGAGGACUUGUAGCGGCUGAUGAACUCGGACAGGUUGGAGGAGGUCCCCAGAGACCCCGGCGCCCCGCCUCGCCCAGGUGCCUCUCACCCUCAAUGGCGAAGGGCUUUCCCACGGUCAGCAGUUUGCAGUCGGCGUCGAUGGAGACCUCGUAGUCCAGGAGCGACUUGUCCAUGAUGAAGGCGUUGAGCUUGGGGGGGUCGCUCCUGCUGGGGCCGGGGGCGGGGGUCAGCCAUCGCCCCGCCCACCCCACGCCCCGCCCCCGCCUCACCCCGCGCCCGGGCUCACGUGAGCAUGGCGACGCCGCGGGGCGUGGUGGGCGCGCUGUGGCGCCGCAUGUGUGCGUGCAUGUCGGGGAAGCUCUUCUUGAUGUACGCCUCGGCGCUGCUCUCCCACACGGUGCCGAAGCGGAAGCCCUGCGCCGGGUGGUGCAGCUGCGCGGGGGACCCCGUCAGCGCCUCUGCCUGCCCCUCAGGACCCCUGACCAUUGAGGGGCGCGCCGUUCUCCGGGGUGGGGCCGUCCUGGGCACUGCAGGGCGCCGAGGCUGCAUUCCUGGCCUCCACCCACUCCAUGCCCAGAGCACACCCCAGGCGUGACCACCACAGCUGUCUCUAGACACACACUGUCCAGGGUCCCCUGGGGCGGGGGGCAGGAUCACCCCGGGUGGAGACCCUCUGUUCUAAACGCCGGCAAGUCCAUCUCCACCUGGACCUCGCCCUGGGCUGGACGCCUAUCCCACCACCUCCUCUGCCUCUCCCCUGGGGGUCCCACGGGAGCCCCACUCUAACAUGUCCAUGACCCCACUCCUGAUCUGCCCC
Molecule: long non-coding RNA, 870 nt
Filed under: Homo sapiens (human)
Lineage: Eukaryota; Metazoa; Chordata; Mammalia; Primates; Hominidae
Description: HSALNT0395546
Source: RNAcentral